AUGAUCCGAGGAGACGCUGAUCCGCCGGGGCACGCGCGGUCACGAGAACCCGGCGGGGAGUCAAUCGUGAGACCGGCCUCUACGG
RNAcentral lists this non-coding RNA (85 nucleotides) under unclassified sequences. RNAcentral's name for it is "c-di-GMP sequence". It matches the Rfam family "c-di-GMP-II-GAG riboswitch aptamer". The record is from Rfam by way of RNAcentral.